Molecule: ribosomal RNA, 253 nt
Filed under: uncultured bacterium
Lineage: Bacteria
Description: partial 16S ribosomal RNA
Rfam family: Bacterial small subunit ribosomal RNA
Source: RNAcentral
UACGUAGGGUGCGAGCGUUAAUCGGAAUUACUGGGCGUAAAGCGUGCGUAGGCGGUUCCUCAAGUCCGUUGUGAAAGCCCCGGGCUCAACCUGGGAAUGGCAGUGGAAACUAACGGGCUCGAGUGUGGCAGAGGGGGGUGGAAUUCCACGUGUAGCAGUGAAAUGCGUAGAGAUGUGGAGGAACACCGAUGGCGAAGGCAGCCCCCUGGGCUAACACUGACGCUCAGGCACGAAAGCGUGGGGAGCAAACAGG